This 105-nucleotide microRNA precursor is filed under the name Marmota monax (woodchuck). The record is from RNAcentral. Lineage: Eukaryota; Metazoa; Chordata; Mammalia; Rodentia; Sciuridae.
AUGAGAGUUCUCUGGGAAAUUCCAUAAAGUGCAGAAUCUGAUUCAGGGCUCUUGAGCUGGGGUCUGAGAUUUUGCAUUUCUAACAAGUUUUCAAGUGAUACCAGU